AGAGAUAUAAUAUCUACGCUAGAUUACAGAUUCAAAUAAAUUGAAUCUUCAAGAUUUGUAUCCCAAUUUGAGAUUUUAAGGUUGAAUGACACAACUGAUUGGGAGAUAUUCAAGCAUUCAAGAAGAGAUUGAGAUUCAUUGCUGGGAAUUGAGUGCCAAGGUACAACAAUAGCUAGGAUUAUUUUCUUUAUUCCGUCUAUUGAAACAGGU
This 210-nucleotide long non-coding RNA is filed under the name Olea europaea (common olive). RNAcentral's name for it is "long non-coding RNA (OEUR_LNC000701)". The record is from RNAcentral. Lineage: Eukaryota; Viridiplantae; Streptophyta; Magnoliopsida; Lamiales; Oleaceae.